GUAGGUGGCAAGCGUUGUCCGGGAAUUAUUGGGGCGUAAAGCGCGCGCAGGCGGUUCGUUUAAGUCUGAUGUGAAAGCCCACGGGCUCAACCGUGGAGGGUCAUUGGAAACUGGAGAACUUGAGUACAGAAGAGGAAAGCGGAAUUCCACGUGUAGCGGUGAAAUGCGUAGAGAUGUGGAGGAACACCAGUGGCGAAGGCGGCUUUCUGGUCUGUAACUGACGCUGAGGCGCGAAAGCGUCGGGAGCAAACAGGAUUAGAUACCCUGGUAGUCCACGCCGUAAACGAUGAGUGCUAAGUGUUAGGGGGUUUCCGCCCCUUAGUGCUGCAGCUAACGCAUUAAGCACUCCGCCUGGGGAGUACGGCCGCAAAGGCUG
This 376-nucleotide ribosomal RNA is filed under the name uncultured organism. RNAcentral describes it as "partial 16S ribosomal RNA". It matches the Rfam family "Bacterial small subunit ribosomal RNA", at positions 527 to 896 of the family's 1533-position model. The record is from RNAcentral.